Molecule: transfer RNA, 72 nt
Filed under: Camelus bactrianus (Bactrian camel)
Lineage: Eukaryota; Metazoa; Chordata; Mammalia; Artiodactyla; Camelidae
Also listed under: 2 other names
Rfam family: tRNA
About the family: Transfer RNA (tRNA) molecules are approximately 80 nucleotides in length.
Source: Rfam by way of RNAcentral
GUGGGUAUACCUCAGUGGUAGAGUGCCUGCUUAGCAUGCACGGGGUCCUGGGUUCAAUCCCUAGUACCUCCA